Molecule: long non-coding RNA, 446 nt
Filed under: Bos indicus x Bos taurus (hybrid cattle)
Lineage: Eukaryota; Metazoa; Chordata; Mammalia; Artiodactyla; Bovidae
Description: lncRNA (ENSBIXG00000004013.1)
Source: RNAcentral
AUGAUAAAAGCUGAAAUGGAGGAAAUCGUCUUGAUUAUCAGGAUCUUUGCACAUUCGCUGCAUGAUCUGCCUCCUGCUUGUCUUCCCAGGUCAUCUCAUACCACUGUUGCAUCACUCCAGCUUUUCCAGGAGACUGCCAACAAGCACAGCCAGCUCUCAAGCUGUAUUGCGCAAAGAUUUGCAGCCCACAAAGAUCGGGAGUUUUUUCCAAAGGUAACGUCAAGGUCAUAAAAGCCCCUAAACAGCUGUUAGGGAGUAACAACGCUUAAGAAAACAGUGGCCUGUGUUAGCUCUUUGUUCUGUUAGCAGAGAAAUGCUCAUUUUGGUGGAUAAAGAGGAGAAAAAAGUCCUGUUAAUUCUAUCUUUCUUAAUCUACUUAUAAACUCGUAGUGACAAGUAUAUUCCUGAGAAAUAAAGCUGCACGAGCAGUGUUUGUGUUGUGAGUA